Molecule: non-coding RNA, 1191 nt
Organism: Oryctolagus cuniculus (rabbit)
Lineage: Eukaryota; Metazoa; Chordata; Mammalia; Lagomorpha; Leporidae
Source: RefSeq, a predicted model, not a curated record
GUAUGGACCAGGUCCCCUCUACUUCCUGUAUUGGAUCAGGUGUCCUCUACUUCCUGUAUUGGAUCAGGUGUCCUCUACUUCCUGUAUGGAUCAGGUGUCCCCUCUACUUCCUGUAUGGAUCAGGUCCCCUCUACUUCCUGUAUGGAUCAGGUGUCCUCUACUUCCUGUAUGGAUCAGGCCCCCUCUACUUCCUGUAUGGAUCAGGCCCCCUCUACUUCCUGUAUGGAUCAGGUGUCCUCUACUUCCUGUACGGAUCAGGUCCCCUCUACUUCCUGUAUUGAAUCAGGUCCCCUCUACUUCCUGUAUGGAUCAGGUCCCCUCUACUUCCUGUAUGGAUCAGGUCCCCUCUACUUCCUGUAUGGAUCAGGUGUCCUCUACUUCCUGUAUGGACCAGGUCCCCUCUACUUCCUGUAUGGAUCAGGUGUCCCCUCUACUUCCUGUAUGGAUCAGGUGUCCUCUACUUCCUGUAUGGAUCAGGUGUCCUCUACUUCCUGUAUGGAUCAGGUGCUCCCUCUACUUCCUGUAUGGAUCAGGUGUCCUCUACUUCCUGUAUGGAUCAGGCCCCCUCUACUUCCUGUAUUGAAUCAGGUCCCCUCUACUUCCUGUAUGGAUCAGGUGUCCUCUACUUCCUGUAUGGAUCAGGUGCUCCCUCUACUUCCUGUAUGGAUCAGGCCCCCUCUACUUCCUGUAUGGAUCAGGUGUCCCCUCUACUUCCUGUAUUGAAUCAGGUCCCCUCUACUUCCUGUAUCGGAUCAAGUCCCCCUCUACUUCCUGUAUGGAUCAGGUGUCCCCUCUACUUCCUGUAUUGAAUCAGGUCCCCUCUACUUCCUGUAUCGGAUCAAGUCCCCCUCUACUUCCUGUAUGGAUCAGGUGCCCUCUACCUCCUGUAUGGAUCAGGUGUCCUCUACUUCCUGUAUGGACCAGGUCCCCUCUACUUCCUGUAUUGAAUCAGGUCCCCUCUACUUCCUGUAUGGAUCAGGUCCCCUCUACUUCCUGUAUGGAUCAGGUGUCCUCUACUUCCUGUAUUGAAUCAGGUCCCCUCUACUUCUUGUAUGGAUCAGGUCCCCUCUACUUCCUGUAUUGAAUCAGGUCCCCUCUACUUCUUGUAUUGGAGCAGGUGACCCCUCUGCCUCCAACCCAGCUUCCUGAUAACGUGCACUCUUGGCGACAGCCACUGAAGCAAGUGCUUGG